This 497-nucleotide ribosomal RNA is filed under the name uncultured bacterium. Its description in RNAcentral is "partial 16S ribosomal RNA". It matches the Rfam family "Bacterial small subunit ribosomal RNA", at positions 28 to 507 of the family's 1533-position model. The record is from RNAcentral.
GAUGAACGCUGGCGGCGUGCCUAAUACAUGCAAGUCGAGCGAACAGACGAGGAGCUUGCUCCUCUGACGUUAGCGGCGGACGGGUGAGUAACACGUGGAUAACCUACCUAUAAGACUGGGAUAACUUCGGGAAACCGGAGCUAAUACCGGAUAAUAUAUUGAACCGCAUGGUUCAAUAGUGAAAGACGGUUUUGCUGUCACUUAUAGAUGGAUCCGCGCCGCAUUAGCUAGUUGGUAAGGUAACGGCUUACCAAGGCAACGAUGCGUAGCCGACCUGAGAGGAUGAUCGGCCACACUGGAACUGAGACACGGUCCAGACUCCUACGGGAGGCAGCAGUAGGGAAUCUUGCGCAAUGGGCGAAAGCCUGACGGAGCAACGCCGCGUGAGUGAUGAAGGUCUUCGGAUCGUAAAACUCUGUUAUUAGGGAAGAACAAGUGUGGAAGUAACUAUGCACGUCUUGACGGUACCUAAUCAGAAAGCCACGGCUAACUACGUG